Mycena rosella is the source of this 81-nucleotide non-coding RNA. NCBI's taxonomy places the organism in Eukaryota, Fungi, Basidiomycota, Agaricomycetes, Agaricales, Mycenaceae. The record is from the annotation of a GenBank genome assembly.
GCCUGCGUGGCAUAACUGGUAUGUCGUCCCGCGGAUAUAUUAUGUAACCGAGGUUCGCUCGUUCGAUUCGAGCCGUGGGUU